This 274-nucleotide ribosomal RNA is filed under the name uncultured bacterium. RNAcentral's name for it is "partial 16S ribosomal RNA". It matches the Rfam family "Bacterial small subunit ribosomal RNA", at positions 523 to 796 of the family's 1533-position model. The record is from RNAcentral.
AUACAGAGGGUGCAAGCGUUAAUGGGAAUUACUGGGCGUAAAGCGCGCGUAGGCGGCUUAUUAAGUCAGAUGUGAAAUCCCAGGGCUCAACCUUGGAACUGCCUCUGAUACUGGUAAGCUAGAGUUUAGGAGAGGGAAGUAGAAUUUCAGGUGUAGCGGUGAAAUGCAUAGAGAUCUGAAGGAAUACCAGUGGCGAAGGCGACUUCCUGGCCUAAAACUGACGCUGAGGUGCGAAAGCGUGGGUAGCAAACGGGAUUAGAAACCCUGGUAGUCC